Arabidopsis lyrata subsp. lyrata is the source of this 1461-nucleotide long non-coding RNA. RefSeq lists it as uncharacterized. The transcript has 3 exons. The record is from RefSeq and is a predicted model, not a curated record. Lineage: Eukaryota; Viridiplantae; Streptophyta; Magnoliopsida; Brassicales; Brassicaceae.
AGUACGUUUUCCAAAGAUAAUUGGAAAAGCAGUACGUGUACUAUUUACAACUCAGAAAUACACCCUGCUUUUACUGUUACACUAAUAGAAGAUAAAGUGUGUAAUGGCAAGAAAAACCUUAUCAAAAACUCAUAUUUACAAUGUUGCCAUUCUUAAUCCAAAAAAAAAAAGAUGUCUCUUUUCUCUCUCUCCCAGCAUCUGAUUCCAUCAUUCUUCUUCUUCGAGCAAUCUCUUCUCCACCAACAACAACAACCCAACUAAACUUUUUCUUCUCUCCCUCAGAUUCGCCACCUCCAAUUCUCUAUCAUCAAUCACGUCUUUAAAGUAGAUCGAUUGGAGAUUUGAACAAGAGAGAGAUGAAAGUUGUAGAGAUGGAACAAAAUUGCAGAGAUGGAGCGGAGAGAGAGAUGGAAUCUAGGGUUCCAAUAGAAACCAUCGAAGAAGACGAAGAGUUCGAUUGGGAAGCAGCAGUCAAAGAAAUCGACUUGGCUUGUCUUAAAACCUCCAAUGCUUCUUCUUCUUCCCAUUUCACUCCUUUGGCUCAUCCUCCAAUUACAUGAAAUAGCACUAAGCCUCAUGCGAGAAGACAAUCUACUCUCGAUAAAUUCAUCAGAAGAACCGAGCAUAAACCGGAGAAUCAAGUUGUUUCCGAGUCGAAUUUUGAUGAAUUUGAAUGUGGUGGUGGUAACGAUAAGAGUCCUUUAGUUGGGAUUGAUCCUGAGGCAGCUAAAACUUGGAUUUAUCCAGGUUUGGGAGAUUGUAACUUUUGAUAAAUCUUUGUAAGUUGGGAGUAGACUCGGUAGUGAACUGUUUCUGAUCUAACUGUUAGAGAAGAUGUUGUUGGUUACAUAUUUGGCAAAUGGUUUGGCUCUUGCUCUUGUUAGUUGUUUCGUUAAGAAGAUAAGUUUGAUUAUGUUAUUCACAUGAUGUGUGUUGUUUGAUUUCUCUAACUUAGGGAUGGUUCAGAGCCGAAUCUUCUUGUUGUAGCGAUUGGUUCUCAUAUCGAUGCUAUUCCAUAUUCCGGAAAGUAUGAUGGCGUUGUCGGUGUUGUAGAAAGUGAAGUUUAAGAUUGUGUUUCUUGAUGAUUUUUGUUGGGCUUUCUUUGUUUUCUUAAGGUUGGGGGUUAAACCGAAGAGAUCUCUGGAGAUAAUCUUGUUUACAUCUGAAGAACCAACCCGAUUUGGGAUCAGUUGUUUAGGAAGCUGCUUGCUUGCUGGAAGCAAAGAACUUACAGAAGUACUAAAGACUACAAUUUUUGAUGGCCAAAAUGUGUCCUUUAUAGAAGCAGCUAGAUCAACUGGAUACGCAGAAGAUAAAGAUGACGACUUAUCGAGUGUGUUCUUGAAGAAAGGAAGUUACUGUUUUGUGUGCCUUUUCUAGUUCUGAUUUCAUUCAUUGUGAUUGGAAGAUUUUAAAGAACCAGUACACAACACACAUAAUAUCCUACCAAUUCAGAUUUCA